Long non-coding RNA from Cryptomeria japonica (Japanese cedar), 927 nucleotides. RefSeq lists it as uncharacterized. Lineage: Eukaryota; Viridiplantae; Streptophyta; Pinopsida; Cupressales; Cupressaceae. The transcript has 3 exons. The record is from RefSeq and is a predicted model, not a curated record.
GACAGAGUAAUUUUCUGAUUUGAUUAUUUUGUAUUUUUUAAUUUUCUUAAAAACAGAAAAUAAUAAAAAAUGUAUUAUAUUUUUAAACUAAAAUGAUUACAUGGACGUCAUUCUGUCUACUGAUAUGAUGCCUCGUGGAAACUACCCAAGGUACAGGUAAUUCAAUGUGCCAUUAAUUUUCGUCAUUAACCAUUUAAAGAUGGUGUGACAGGGGGAGAGAAGGAAGUUGUUCUAGUGUCGACCAAAUUUGUGAUGCGUGCAGAAUAUGGAGUGCUCGGCGAUUGUGGAGAUGCCCUAAGAGAACAAGGUGUGUAAGGGGAAAUUCAUUAGAACAUCACAUAUUUUAACUUUUGGCACUCGAUGAACAAGCAUGUUUAAUGGAGGUGGUUGAAAUGUGUUCUUAAGAAGAGAGAGAAAAGAGAUGGUAGAGAGCAGAUUUAGACUGGCGCUUUAUAUUUUGUUAGUGUUGAUGGCAUUUAUGGGGAAGGUUCAGGGAGAUCCAACGUGCAGCCCAGCGGGGAACUUCUGGUGCGACAGUGGGCGGUGCUGCAGCAUAUAUAACUGGUGUGGAAGUACAUCAGACUAUUGUGCAUCUGGGAAUUGCCUUGCUCAGUGCUGGCCUAACGCGCUUGCACUUGAUAAGUCUAGUUUCGAAGUAGCCCGACAGAACCUCACCUCUGCUUCUCCAUAGCAAACCAUGACUGCUAUCUGUUUGGUUGCAGAGUAUUUAACUGUUAGAAAUCAGAAUAGGUUAUCAGAACUAGUUAAUAGUUUGUUAAAUUUGUGGAGCUCUAUCAAGAUAAUAGAUUAUUAUGUGGUUGCAGUUAUGUGUACUAAGAUCUGUCUGGAAUUGCAAUACAACAUUAUUUUCACUGUGUUUUUUCUAUUUUCAAAGAGGUUAGCAGAGUGCCCUGUUUUUAAAGUUUU